UGGGGAAUAUUGGACAAUGGGCGCAAGCCUGAUCCAGCCAUGCCGCGUGGGUGAAGAAGGCCUUCGGGUUGUAAAGCCCUUUUGUUGGGAAAGAAAAGCAGUCGGUUAAUACCCGAUUGUUCUGACGGUACCCAAAGAAUAAGCACCGGCUAACUUCGUGCCAGCAGCCGCGGUAAUACGAAGGGUGCAAGCGUUACUCGGAAUUACUGGGCGUAAAGCGUGCGUAGGUGGUUUGUUAAGUCUGAUGUGAAAGCCCUGGGCUCAACCUGGGAAUUGCAUUGGAUACUGGCAGGCUAGAGUGCGGUAGAGGGUAGUGGAAUUCCCGGUGUAGCAGUGAAAUGCGUAGAGAUCGGGAGGAACAUCCGUGGCGAAGGCGACUACCUGGACCAGCACUGACACUGAGGCACGAAAGCGUGGGGAGCAAACAGGAUUAGAUACCCUGGUAGUCCACGCCCUAAACGAUGCGAACUGGAUGUUGGGUUCAAUUAGGAACUCAGUAUCGAAGCUAACGCGUUAAGUUCGCCGCCUGGGGAGUACGGUCGCAAGACUGAAACUCAAAUGAAUUGACGGGGUCAUAGCUG
Molecule: ribosomal RNA, 581 nt
Filed under: uncultured bacterium
Lineage: Bacteria
Description: partial 16S ribosomal RNA
Rfam family: Bacterial small subunit ribosomal RNA
Source: RNAcentral